UACGUAGGGGGCAAGCGUUGUCCGGAAUCAUUGGGCGUAAAGCGCGUGUAGGCGGCUCGGUAAGUCUGCUGUGAAAGUCCAGGGCUCAACCCUGGGAUGCCGGUGGAUACUGUCGAGCUCGAGUCCGGAAGAGGCGAGUGGAAUUCCUGGUGUAGCGGUGAAAUGCGCAGAUAUCAGGAGGAACACCUAUUGCGAAGGCAGCUCGCUGGGACGUUACUGACGCUGAGACGCGAAAGCGUGGGGAGCAAACAGG
Molecule: ribosomal RNA, 253 nt
Filed under: uncultured bacterium
Lineage: Bacteria
Description: partial 16S ribosomal RNA
Rfam family: Bacterial small subunit ribosomal RNA
Source: RNAcentral